AGAGUUUGAUCCUGGCUCAGAUUGAACGCUGGCGGCAUGCUUUACACAUGCAAGUCGAACGGUAGCAGGCCUUCGGGUGCUGACGAGUGGCGGACGGGUGAGUAAUGCGUAGGAAUCUGUCUUUUAGUGGGGGAGUAACGCAGCGAAAGUUAGUGCUAAUACCGCAUAAGACUCUGAGGAGGAAAGACGGGGGACCGGAAAGGACCUCGCGCUGAAGGAGCGGCCGAUGUCCGAUUAGCUAGUUGGUAGGGGUAAAGGGACCGUACCCAAGGACGACGAUCAGUAGCUGGUCUGAGAGGACGACCAGCCACACUGGGAC
RNAcentral lists this ribosomal RNA (319 nucleotides) under uncultured prokaryote. RNAcentral describes it as "bacterial SSU rRNA". It matches the Rfam family "Bacterial small subunit ribosomal RNA", at positions 8 to 319 of the family's 1533-position model. The record is from RNAcentral.